UAUGUGAUCGUCUCUCGCAUAUCAAUAAGCGGAGGAAAAGAAACUAACAAGGAUUCCCCUAGUAACGGCGAGUGAAGCGGGAAGAGCUCAAAUUUGAAAUCUUAAAGGGUUUCCCUUUACGAAUUGUAGUUUAAAGAAGUGUUUUCUGUUGAGGUUUUGGUAAAAGUUCUUUGGAAUAGGACAUCAUAGAGGGUGAGAAUCCCGUAUUUGACCUUUACUUUCAACUUUGUGAUACACCUUCAAAGAGUCGGAUUGUUUGGGAAUGCAGUCCAAAAUGGGUGGUAAAUUUCAUCUAAAGCUAAAUAUUGGCGAGAGACCGAUAGCGAACAAGUACCGUGAGGGAAAGAUGAAAAGAACUUUGAAAAGAGAGUUAAACAGUACGUGAAAUUGUCAAAAGGGAAGCGUUUGACACCAGUGUUGUUUUUCUGAAAAUCAAUUAAAGAACUGUUUAUGCUAAGCUGUUUAGACUUUAUCAGCUAUCUGUUUAGUUUUGAGCUUUUCUUUAAUGCACUUUUCAGUUAACAAGUCAACAUCAAUUUCUUUUGCUGUAAAAAAGCUUGAGGAAGGUGGCUUGAGAUUCGUCUUAAGUGUUUAUAGCCUCUUGCCUAUGCAGUCGGAGAGAUUGAGGUCUGCAGCGUAGAUCCUUCGGGGCUAAAUGCAUUUGUGCUAAGUUAUAGCAUUUUAUAGACAACUUGUUGACUAUGAUUUGUCUUGUAGCUUACUCGCUUAUGUUAUUUUACCUACGCUUAGGAUGUUGAUCUGUAGUGCGUGCGC
This 774-nucleotide ribosomal RNA is filed under the name uncultured Neocallimastigales. RNAcentral describes it as "partial large subunit ribosomal RNA". It matches the Rfam family "Eukaryotic large subunit ribosomal RNA", at positions 24 to 647 of the family's 3401-position model. Lineage: Eukaryota; Fungi; Neocallimastigomycota; Neocallimastigomycetes; Neocallimastigales. The record is from RNAcentral.